UUUGGUCCUAAACUUACUGCUACUUUUAAUCAAAUUUACACAUGCAAGCAUCCACACACCAGUGAAAUACGCCCUAACACAGUAUAAAUGGAGCAGGUAUCAGGCACAACCGCCAGCCAAAAACACCAAGCUUUGCCACACCCACACGGGCCCUCAGCAGUGAUAAACAUUAAGCAAUAAGCGAACACACCAAACUAAAGCUUGACUUAGUUAUGAUUAACAGGGCCGGUAAACCUCGUGCCAGCCACCGCGGUUACACGGCGGGCCCAAAGCAGCAGACUCUCGGCGUAAAUAGUGGCCAGAAUAAUUACCCCCACAUUAAAAACUAAACCAUACCCUAACCGUAAAACACAGGCUAAAUGAAAUCAAGCACUUUUAAUAACAGGUAAUUUGACCCACGAAAACUAAGAAACAAACUAGGAUUAGAUACCCUACUAUGCUUAGUCGUUAAUAUGAUAUUAUAGUACUAAAAUAUCCGCCAGAAAACUACGAGCGAAAAGCUUAAAACUCAAAGGACUUGGCGGUGCUCCAUACCGACUUAGAGGAGCCUGUCCUAUAAUCGAUACCCCACGCUAAACCCCACCAAUCUUUGCCAUACCAGCCUAUAUACCGCCGUCGUCAACCCACCUCAUGAGAGAAAAACAGUGAGUACAAAAGUUCAAUAACUAAAACGUC
RNAcentral lists this ribosomal RNA (675 nucleotides) under Sceloporus gadsdeni (Lagoon spiny lizard). RNAcentral's name for it is "partial 12S ribosomal RNA". It matches the Rfam family "Bacterial small subunit ribosomal RNA", at positions 12 to 1186 of the family's 1533-position model. Lineage: Eukaryota; Metazoa; Chordata; Lepidosauria; Squamata; Phrynosomatidae. The record is from RNAcentral.